Molecule: long non-coding RNA, 1329 nt
Filed under: Felis catus (domestic cat)
Lineage: Eukaryota; Metazoa; Chordata; Mammalia; Carnivora; Felidae
Description: lncRNA (ENSFCAG00000051050.1)
Source: RNAcentral
AGUUGAUCCCCAGCAGUGGAAUGAUUGGGUAAAUAAUAUUCUUAAGACCUUUGACAUAUAUUUCCAAUUUGCUUUAUUUUUUUAUUUUUUAUUUUUUUUAUUUAAAAAAAUUUUUUUAACGUUUAUUUAUUUUUGAGACAGAGAGAGACAGAGCAUGAACGGGGGAGGGUCAGAGAGAGGGAGACACAGAAUCUGAAACAGGCUCCAGGCUCUGAGUUGUCGGCACAGAGCCCGACGCGGGGCUCGAACACACGGACUUCGAGAUCAUGACCUGAGCUGAAGUCAGACGCUUAACCGACCGAGCCACCCAGGCGCCCCCCAAUUUGCUUUUUAAAAAUGUUACCAGAAAUUGGGAUGCCCUGGGUAGCUCAGUUGGUUACGCGUCUGACUCUUGGUUUGGCUUAGGUCAUGAUCUCACAGUUUGUGAGAUCGAGCCCUGUGUCAGGUUCUGUGCUGACAGCAUGGAGCCUGCUUGGGAUUCUCUCUCUCCCUCUCUCUCUCUGCCCUUCCCCUACUCGUGUGUAUGCACAUGUGUGUGUGCACGUGUGUGUGUGUGCGUGCUCUCUGUCUCUUAAAAUAAAUAAACAUAUUUUUAAAUGUCACCAGAAAUUAAUGGAGAUUUCUACCUACAACAUUUUUGUUACCACUUUUAAUCUUUGCCGUUUUUAGGAUUAACCAUAUUCCGUUGCUAAGUUUGAUUUUCUUAAAUUACAAAUGAGAGUGAACAUACGUGUAUCUUUAUUAGCAACUUGCAUUAUCUGUUUGCUGAAUGUUUGUUCAUGUCCCUUCCUAUUUAGGGAGGACUUUACAUCAUGCUGAGUUUUGAAAGAAUAACUACAAUUCUUCAGCUACUGGAAGAGAGUGAGUGUGGAGGCGGCUCAGCACGCCAAAACUCAGGCCACUGCAUUCCUGUUAUUUCUGGAGGCCAAACCACCUGCUGCGUUCUGCAGGGGCUCGCUCAGUCUGUGGCUUCGGAGUCCAGCUCCAGCACCUUUACAAGCUCGUCUUCGUGUGUUCGGACUACUAUUACAAAAUGCUACAGACUGGGCAGCCUCUUGUCCUGUAAGUGCCCGACAUUAAAUCCCUGAUUGCUGAGGCAUCCAUUUCAAAGACAUGAAUCUGGAACAAACAUUGCCAGCCAUAUGACACAGCUACCGAUAAAACCCCUAGAUAGGAAGCUAGGCCGCCCCCACCUACAGAGUUUCCUUUGUAGGAAGCCAGGUGUAGGCUGGAUAACUGAGUGACCCUGCUUCUCCCCUCUGGUGUCCUAAUUCUCACCCUUGUGUUUUAAAUUUGCCAAUAAAAAAUGAGCCCACGAAACCCUAGGCA